RNAcentral lists this ribosomal RNA (497 nucleotides) under uncultured bacterium. RNAcentral's name for it is "partial 16S ribosomal RNA". It matches the Rfam family "Bacterial small subunit ribosomal RNA", at positions 28 to 507 of the family's 1533-position model. The record is from RNAcentral.
GAUGAACGCUGGCGGCGUGCCUAAUACAUGCAAGUCGAGCGAACAGAUGAGGAGCUUGCUCCUCUGACGUUAGCGGCGGACGGGUGAGUAACACGUGGAUAACCUACCUAUAAUACUGGGAUAACUUCGGGAAACCGGCGCUAAUACCGGAUAAUAUAUUGAACCGCAUGGUUCAAUAGUGAAAGACGGUUUUGCUUUCACUUAUAGAUGGUUCCGCGCCGCAUUAGCUAGUUGGUAAGGUAACGGCUUACCAAGGCAACGAUGCGUAGCCGACCUGAGAGGGUGAUCGGCCACACUGGAACUGAGACACGGUCCAGACUCCUACGGGAGGCAGCAGUAGGGAAUCGUCCGCAAUGGGCGAAAGCCUGACGGAGCAGCGCCGCGUGAGUGAUGAAGGUCUGCGGAUCGUAAAACUCUGUUAUUAGGGAAGAACAAAUGUGUAAGUAACUAUGCACGUCUUGACGGUACCUAAUCAGAAAGCCACGGCUAACUACGUG